Molecule: long non-coding RNA, 1649 nt
Organism: Tachysurus fulvidraco (yellow catfish)
Lineage: Eukaryota; Metazoa; Chordata; Actinopteri; Siluriformes; Bagridae
Exons: 3
Source: RefSeq, a predicted model, not a curated record
UUUUGCAUUUUUUUCUCAGUAUGACCCUAGUAACAUAUCUUAAAGUGUCAGGAGAAAAAGCUUUAAAAAGGAUGUAAAACAAGGUCAAUUUUUGAACAGGGCAGUGCUCUAAAAUACUACAACACCUCAUACAGUAUUAUCCUGUACACACGUGCAAAUACACACACUAUAUAUAGUGUUUGCCUAAAUACACACCAUAUAGUAUAUAUUAGAAAACAGAAGGCAAAUCCCAUGCUAUAGCAGACUUGAAGAAAAAACAUGAUGGCGUAAUAGGAAUUCCAUUGGCUCAUUGGAUCUAAUUGUUAUGUUGUAAACAAAACCUGUGUUGAGGUUAAAGUGCCAUGUAUUGUGGCGCAUUUUUUCCCAUGCUUGAAUAAGUCUCUCUACAAUAGGAAUAUAAUACUAAAGCAGAAGUAAUGCUUUCACUUCCUCCAUUGUGACAAUGUCUGCAGUAUAACUGGGACGUUGUCUUGUGUUAUACAAUCACACAGCACCCCCUCCAGUGACACCAGCUGCUAGUGUGUGUUUGUGAGGGAGUGCAAAAUUAUAGCGAGGAUGUCGCCAAUCAAAGAGCAUUCUGUCAUAUGAGGCUAAAGAGAAACAGGAAGUUUGGGGGUGUAUAGGCAGAAUAAUUUUUUGUUGUCUUUCUGUCUCUCUGAUUUCCUCAACCAACCAGGGAUCUGGAAGUGGCUUGGUCCAGCCUUGGUGCUGUUACCAUGACCCUGUUACUUCUACUAGGCUGGCAACUGAUCUGAAGGACUCACAAGCUGUGAUGUGGCUAAAUGUUGAACUCAGUGUCUGAUCUCAGGUGUUUUGAAGCCAGCAGCAAAGAGUUUGCAGCUGUAUUGAUUCUAGUCCGGCAAAGAACUACCACCCAUAAUAGGUCAGAAUUGUGGUGGCAAGGCUGAAGGGUAUCAACUUGUGCCAUGCACAAGGUCACACCCUAAUUCAAGAGCACAGAAGUACUGUAUCUGCCUGGGAGUCGUGGGAUUUAAAUUCGCAACCUCCCAGUCACAAUAACAGACAUUUAUCCACAGAGACUCAGAUAAAGUGCCUGAAUGCAGCAGUCUGUGUUCUAGCUUGCCCAUCAGGCAUAAGGAGGGGCCAGAGACAGAAAGAGGGAGACAGAAAGAGAGAGAGAAUAGGAGAAGAAAAAGAAAAGGAAUGUGCAGACUGUUGUGAAAUCUGAUGGAGGUGGGGGAGGACACUGCAACUUGCACGCUCAAGAAGCCUCACCAUGGGACUUAUGCUGCAUCCUCGUUCGCUCGGUCAACGGAUAUUAUGUCAAAAUAUAUGAGCCCUGAAUAUUAGAUGCUGGCUUUACUUUGACUGUCAAUAUUUUUGUUAUUAUUGUUAUUGCAAAAAUUUUAUCUGCUUCAAAUGAUUACAAUUAAAAUCAAUUUCCUGGUGUGUAUCUAUCCAUAUUAUUCCACACUACCUUAAGCUCACUAUAUCUGAAUUCAUCACUUCUUAUCUGAGCUUGUGCACCUGUUCAUGCUGUCUUGUAAUUAAUGGCAACCAAAGCCAAUUCCAGACAGUUCCUCCUUUGUCCCCAGCAUUCUCAUGACUGUCUGCUAUGUGAGAUUCUGUCUAGGAGGGGCUGUUAUGGUACAAAGUGCACUUACUAGCACAGGUACACAGCGAUUGUC